UGGCAGCCUUAGAACAGGCGCUGAGGUACAGCUCCAUCGCCAGCCCCGGGCCCUUCUACCCUCAGCCGCCCUCUCCUGUGUCCUUCCUUCGCACCCCUUUCCCCGUCGUCGUCCCUCCGUCGCCACUGGAUCCAGAAUGAUAUUGUCAUGUUUCCUUCAAAGAAAUUACACUGCUUUGUGAUUUAUCUGUGGUUUAUCCUCCCACAAAUGGAGAUUGGAUAAGGUAUGUGCCUGCUGUUAAUAUCUUCUUUCUAUGUUGGAUAAAUCUUUCUCAUAGGCUGUGGUUUCAAGUAAUGGCUAAAAUUAGUUUUUCUAAUUUUGUUUGCUUGUUUUAAAGACAGUGGAGAUUCUUUCCCCUCUUCAUUUUUGAUUUUGUAUUUUGAAAUCUUUGCUAACUUCAAGCAAAAUCACUACUUUUAUGUUAUUUUUAGAAUUAUGUAAGUUUGGAGGAUAAGUAAAAUGAAAGUAGUGACCAAGUUGCUUAGUAUGGACUAACUUGCAAAAGAUAAUUUUUGUAUUUUUUUUAAAUCAAUGCAAAAUUUAGUAAUUGUAAUAAACAUAUGUAUACUUCUGGCCUAAAAUGUAUCACAAAUUUAAAAAAAAACCUGAAUUUGUCAGCCUGACUAUGCACAAAAGAGUUAAUGCAGUUGGCCUGAGACUGGUAUUUUUUAGAAAAGCCUACUUGAAAAGUUCUCUCUUGAUUGGAGUUGGGGAACUUGGUAGUUGAGCCAUUCAUGAAGUGAUAACUGGUUCACUGUGCCUAAACUGCUUAUGAAAUCAAUAUGGUUUAUGCUGGACAUAUGCCUUCUGUCUGGGGGUCUGCAAAUUUGAUAUGUACUAGGCAGCAGGUGCUUACAUGAUAAACUAGCAUUAAAAACCUUGGGCUUUGUUAUGGGUUGAAUUGUGUCCAUCUAAAAUUCAUAUGUGGAAAUCCUGUCAGUACCUGUAUUUGGAGAGAGGGUCUUUAUACAUGUAAUUAAGUUAAAAUGAGGUCACUAAGAUGCAUCUUAAUCUAAUAUGACUGGUAUUUUUAUGGGAAGAAGAAAUUAGGACACGGAUAGGCAUAGAGGGAAGACCAUGUGAAGACAUGGGUAUGUCUAAUCACAAUAAAAUGAAAAUUCUUUAAGGAAAAUUUUUGUCUGUCUUCUUCAAUGUACUCUUCAAUAACUAGAGCAGUACCCAAUAAUUAUUAUUAGGUAGAAAAAACUCAAUAGUAGAUAUUUAGUAAAUAACACUUCAGAAAAUAAGUGAAUCAAUUCUCCCCCCACCCCCAGUCACUGCUUAAAUAGUGCCAAUGUGUGCUUCAGAAUAGCUUUUCUUUUCUUUUUUCUUUUCUUUUCUUGUCUUUUCUUUUUUCUUUUCUUUUCUUUUCUUUUCUUUUCUUUUCUUUUCUUUUCUUUUCUUUUCUUUUCUUUUCUUCUUUUAUUCAUCUCUGAGAACCCAUCCUUCUAACUGACACUGUCUCCUUUUAGAUAGAAUCCCACAUUUUUAACUCCUAAAUUACUGUUUUCCCACAUAAUGUUGAGAACAUGAUCUAUAGAACAGUAAAAACACCAUGUGAUGGCUUACCAUUCUUUAUCUCAUCCAUUUAUUAAAGACUAGGUACAUUAUUAAACUGUAGUAAUAACUUUGUUGCAUAGUUUCCUUGACUGAAUUGGAAUAUUUUAAUCAUGUUUGUUCAGCAUUCAUAUAUUAAUCCUUACAAAAGCUAUCAGUAUAUGCAGAUUAAAUAAAUUACAGGGUUUAUUGAUGUGCAUAAAUGUAGCUAUUUUGUUAAAUGGAAGAACAAAAAUUAUUAGUAUCUUGUGAAAUUAACUCAGUAGAUCAAGGCAAUAUUUUUAAAGUUACAACAAAAGAGAAAAGAAUAGAAAAUAGUGAGCUUCAGGUUUAACAAGAGUAUCACUUUAUGAAAAUUUGUUUUAAUUAUAGAUAUAUAACUUACAUAUUUUGCUUAUAUAAAUAUGUACGAUAUAUAAUGUAUAUCUUGUGAAUUUAAGGAAGGAGUGUUUUGAAGUAACACAAGAUAAUGGAUUAUGAGCAUCUAUAUUUCAAAAAAAGAUUCAUUUUUUAAAAAAUUUAUUUAUUUACUUAGAGAGAGAGACAGGGAAUGAGCAGGGGUGGGGCAGAGAGAGGGAACGAGAGAAUCUCAAGCAGACUCUGCACUGUAAGCACGGAGCUGGAUGCAGAGCUCCAUCCAGUGAACUGUGAGAUCUGCUUAACUGAUUGAGCCACUCAGGAACCUCUCAAUAAAAGAUUCUAAAAAGUGAAAACCCUUCAGAAUAUUAGAACAGAAAAGGUUAUUAGUUAUCUUUUAAGUGGAUACUUUUAUUUUGCAAGUAAGGAUACAAGGGAUCAGUAAAGUGAAGUCUUCCAAAAUUACAAAUUAGAUUAGUGGGAGCUUUAAGUUAUCACUCAAGUCUUCUGUCAGUUUACCACCAAAUCAUACAGCUAAAGAGAAUAUUAUGCUUCAUGCUGUCUCAGCAUGUAAUUUGGGGUCUGUUCUACUCAUUAGACUGAAACUGGCAUCAAGUUAAGUUUAUUUUUUUUCCCAGUAAACACAUUUGUUAUAGUAAGUUCAAUCACCAUAGAAAUGUGGUUGUUCUUUUCAAAUUGUUUAAAGAAUAUUCAUUUAAAUAAAGUACCUCUAAUUGUGGCUAUGUAAUUUCUUUACUUUUGAAUCCUUCUGAUACUGAAUUAAGAGAAACUUGUUUUUUGUUAACAUGGAAUAAUUUUCACCUUUUCGUGUAGUUGGUAUUAUAAGUAUUCAGAAUAAGUGCUAAUUAAAAAUAUUACUACUUCCUUAUCAUCUUCUGCCAGCUGGCCCUUUAUAUUAACAUUGAAGGGUUAUUUCAGGAAGCAGCUUAUCAGGUCUGGGGCUUUUUUUGGUUUGUUUGGAUGGUUAGUUUUUUCACCUAAUUAGUGAACAGUCUGAGAAGGGUUUUAUUUUUAGCAAUUGCAAAACUAAUGAAGGUGGGAAUACAAAUGACCUUAGAAGACAUUCUUAGAAGACAUUCUGUAGAAAAAAAAAAUUCUCCCAAUUCUUUGCUCUUUUAUUUGAGGCUUUCUGUCUGGAUUCUACCUUGUCUGAUGUUAGCAGCUUACUCCUGUUAUAUCAUUAGUGUUUGCAUGUUUGUUAUAAUAUUGCCUACCUACUUUUGAAUUACUUUGUUUUAGCUAUAUCUCUUACAUACAGAAAACAGUUGGUGUUUUUUGUGGGAUAAUUUGAAACCUUAUUUUUAAAAAUUUAAUAGAUUAACCCAUUUUUACCUAUUAACAUAAUUGUAUAUACAUUCUAAUCAAUCAAACUAGUUUAUGCUAUUUACUAAGAUUCUUUAGAGGAUUUUGUCUCUUUUGGUUUACCUUGUUAAAGACCUUAGCUGCCUUGUAAAUAUUGCUUCUAAUUUUUUUAGAUAUCUUUACACAAAUAGAAUGGUAAAAUCAUUUUGAAUUACAGACUCAUAAGCAUAUGUUUUAACAUUUUCAUUCUGGCCCAGGGAACGGAAAUUAAAAGGCAAUAAUGUCCAUUCAAAAUUCUGUCCAAAUUUAAGAGGCCAUCAGAGCCAUUGUUUCUUGCUAAGAUCUUGAAAAUACAGAAAAUAAAAUGUUUUCUUUAAGUGAGAAAGAGGAGGAAAUUCAGAGAAAGUUUGUCAUUUAAGGAUUGAAUAUUCUGUGUGCCCUCAUUUACAUAGCUACUUCAUUUCAAGUAUGAUCUUAUUAGUCUCUGAUGGAUCUGAAUAUUGGA
Molecule: long non-coding RNA, 3742 nt
Organism: Felis catus (domestic cat)
Lineage: Eukaryota; Metazoa; Chordata; Mammalia; Carnivora; Felidae
Exons: 2
Source: RefSeq, a predicted model, not a curated record